This is a long non-coding RNA of Aethina tumida (small hive beetle), 678 nucleotides long. RefSeq lists it as uncharacterized. The transcript is spliced from 4 exons. NCBI's taxonomy places the organism in Eukaryota, Metazoa, Arthropoda, Insecta, Coleoptera, Nitidulidae. The record is from RefSeq and is a predicted model, not a curated record.
AUGAUUUUAAUAUUGCUUGAAUUUAAAUAGAAAAUUGUUUUAUGUUUCGUCCUAUGUUUGAGAGUACCCUUAAAGAAGGGUUAAACAGUUAGAAAGAGCUGUGUUUCUGGAACUAACUAAGGAUAUGAAGAUAUUUAAAAUGGGAAUCCUUCUAAACCUUUUAUUUUAUAAUUUAAUUAUAAUGAUAAAUGGUACGCUAUCAAAGAGUGAGGAAACAAUGCAGAAUGAAUCCAAAAUUACAUAGAAUAUCAUUGAGAAAAAACUCAAAGGAAUCAAGCCAAACUAAAAAAGAUGAUUUGAUGAUAUAUCCAGUAAAGAUGCGAGUUGUCAACUCGGAAUCCAGAUCCGUUGAAAAAGAUAUUUUCAGUCCCUAUCAGGAAAAUUACAUUAUUUAUCUAAGGCGUUGAUUACUGCAAGUAUUAUUUUAAUACGUUUAAUAAUUGUCAACAGAAUUUGGUGAAAAGAAUUUUUAAAUGGUCUCCACAAAUUUUAAUUAACCAAAGGACAUUGAGGAACUACCAAGAAUACCUCCAACAUAACAUUACAUCACACCACAUUAAUAUGAGAUUCUUAAUUUUUUGACUAUCCAUCUGCAGGCAUGUGAAAUUAUGAUUUUUCUUUGAUAAAUAUAUAUCAAAUUAUAAUUGAUAAUUGUCACAUAAAGGUUUAUAACCUGCU